Long non-coding RNA from Xiphophorus hellerii (green swordtail), 1562 nucleotides. RefSeq lists it as uncharacterized. The transcript has 2 exons. Lineage: Eukaryota; Metazoa; Chordata; Actinopteri; Cyprinodontiformes; Poeciliidae. The record is from RefSeq and is a predicted model, not a curated record.
ACCCUCCUACUGCCGCGCUCUGAUUGGCUGGGAAACUUAGGCUAGCGGGGAUGACAGAUUGCAUCAUAGGGCAACAAUUUGUGCUAGUGAGAGGGAGUGAGAGUAGAGACAGAAACAGAAAAAUGUCCAAUAUAAGCAAGCUAACUUGCUGCCUCGAGAUAAAAUGUGUCGUUAUAAAAUAGGUCUGUUGAAAGAUGAAUAAUUCGUGUUACUAAUGUAAGAUGAUUUAUUUUUUCCUUUUGAAUUAAUGUGAUUAUAUACAAGAUCAGUUACUACAGUUGAUCCAUAGUUAAGGAAUUGUGCUGUGCCUUUAAAAGGAGCCGUUUCUUUCUUCUUCGUUGGUUUUUUUUUUUUUUUUGGUGUGUGAGACGGGUUCUGUUCUGUUAAAAUGGAGGUUCAAUAAAAGUCUGGACAACUACGCUACUCCUUCUCAGUGUUCUGCUCUUUCUCCACCCACGACCUCUUAUUCUACGAUAACACCGAUUCAGUUCACAUCGUAGUGUUACACUGGUGGCAGCGGGUUUGUGGACAUUUGCAGCUAUUACAGCGAUUAGGAUGGCAGAGGAAAUGAGAAACACCCAAAGCAUCAAACAGAAAGUGGGGGUUGAUCCAUUUGCUACCCUCAGCCGAAGGCUUCAGCCCAAGAUGUAUUUCUCUCACGCACAGAUUGGAGGUGCAGGGAGACUGAUGGGAGGAACGCGGGAGAUAAAUCAUCAAACCCUGCUUGGGACUCUAAUAACAGAUUGCUAGAAGGACUGACAAAUAGAGCACAGCUUGGAAGGCUGAACUGAAGUGCCGACAGAAAAUAACAGAAAACCAACAUAUAAGGGGGAGUUGCUCCCUUUUUAUGUUUGCUUAGUUUUAAAACCUUGUAUAAAAAAUUGUCAGCAAAGCAGCAUUAAUGAGCAGCACAGUACGUCUUUGUGCAUGGACAGCUAAGACAUGUGCAGCAUCCUGCCUCCUCAGAGUGUGUGUGAGACGCUCGUGUUUAUAAGCAUGGGGGCGGGGGAGCGGACCAUCUUUCUCGGGAUUUUGCUGCGGGAGCACAAUGUUGCCAUGGAGACUGCAUCCAUUGCAGCAGAAAAACGCAGAUGGACGGCCUUCCUUUUUUCCCUGAUGUGGUCCAGGUUGCCUCUCAUCCCUGACCUGCAAUUCAUAAAAACUUGUCCUUUUGACUUUGUGGAUAGGCGGAGGAAAAAAUGCUCCGGGUGUGGACCAGCCUAUGACUCAGACCGCUGACAAACUGCUUAUGGCAGAGGUGAAAAGGCCUUUUUGUUGAAUUAUUAGAGAAUGUUUAAUCACAGAGCAUUAUCUUGCACAACUGGAGAUUUAAAUAUUGUUCUAAAUAUGUCAGGAUACAUAAAUUAAAGGUAAAUCAGUUGCCAUACUUUCUGAAUGUACGUAAUUACAGCUCAUUGGAGAGUAAAUGGUCUGCAUCUGAAUGCCUGCUAAUACAGACAUCAUGUUGACACAAGGGCACACGAUCAAUACCUUGUUUCUAAAUUCAAGACAUUAAUUGCAGUUGACUUUAAAAGUGAAUAAAGACAACAGGCAAGAACAUA